AAGUUGAAAGAGACAGCGGAGUAAGGAAAAUAAUGCAGCGAACCAUCUAAUGAACGAGUGAAAGGGAAGGGAAGAAACGAGUUGAAGAUAAAGUACACUAGAAAUCGGGAAAGAGAGAAACAAAGGAUCAAUAGGUUUGAGGACCAGUUGUAGAUCGAUUGCCGGAGAUGGAGGAACCAUUGAUUAACGGCAGCAGCGGCGGCGGAUCCAUCGAAACCUGCGAACUUCUUCAUCCUGCACCAUCCACGGUAGUGGAAUUGGGGAACGGUGAUUACCUUCCGGUGAAGAGCUUUGGCGAUGUGAAAUCUAUGUUUUGGAAAGAGACGGUGAAACUGUGGGUCAUCGCUGGGCCUAUCAUUUUCAACACUCUUUGCCUCUAUGGGCUUAACUCUUCCACGCAGAUCUUCGUAGGUCACCUUGGUAAUAUCGAGCUUUCCGCCGUCGCCAUUGCCUUGUCUGUCAUCUCUGUCUUCUCCUUCGGCUUCCUGCUUGGUAUGGCGAGCGCACUAGAGACUCUAUGUGGUCAGGCAUUUGGUGCAGGGCAGAUGUACAUGCUUGGCAUUUACAUGCAACGCUCCUGGAUAAUCCUUACAGUCUCCUGUGUUCUCCUUCUCCCAGUUUACAUUUUUGCCACCCCUAUCCUAGAGCUCCUCGGCCAGGAUCAUGAUAUAGCUGUUCUCGCCAGCAAAUUUGCUAUCCAAAUCAUUCCUCAGUUGUUCGCACUGGCCAUCAAUUUCCCUAUCCAAAAGUUCCUUCAGGCCCAAAGCAAGGUUGGGGUGAUCGCUUGGAUUGGCUUCGUCACCCUUCUCCUUCACGUAUUCUUUCUCUGGCUCUUCAUCUAUGUCCUUGGUCUGUCUACAUUUGGUGCAGCCUUGGCUUACGACAUUUCGGGCUGGGUGAUUCCUAUAGCUCAGUUGGUUUAUGUGGUGGGGUGGUGCAAGGAUGGAUGGAAGGGCCUAUCUUGGUUGGCCUUCCAUGAGAUUUGGGCCUUUGUUAGGCUCUCCGUGGCCUCGGCCGUCAUGCUUUGCCUUGAGGUAUGGUACAUGAUGACUCUGAUUGUCCUCACCGGCCACCUUGCUGAUGCAGUCAUAGCGGUUGCCUCCAUCUCUGUCUGCAUGAAUCUCAAUGGCUGGGAAGCAAUGCUUUUUAUUGGAAUCAAUGCUGCUAUAAGUGUUCGAGUCUCAAAUGAACUUGGAUCAGGACACCCUAGAGCUGCCAAAUAUUGUGUUUUUGUUGUAGUUGCUCAAUCACUUCUCAUUGGGCUAUUCUUCAUGGUUCUAAUCUUGGUUACCAAAGACUAUUUUGCUAUCAUUUUCACUAGCAGUAAAGAGCUACAGCAAGCCGUCGCUCGCCUUGCCUUCCUCCUUGGGGUAACUAUGGUACUUAACAGUAUCCAGCCGGUCAUCUCAGGUGUUGCUAUUGGAGGUGGGUGGCAAGCAUUGGUUGCUUAUAUUAACCUGGGUUGUUAUUAUAUAUUCGGGCUUCCUCUUGGGUUCCUUAUGGGUUACAAAUUGAAUAUGGGAGUGGAGGGAAUUUGGUCUGGCAUGCUUUGUGGAACUGCACUGCAAACAUUGAUCCUACUGUUCAUCGUUUGGAAAACCAACUGGAAGCAUGAGGCUGAUCAGGCAUUAGAACGCGUGCAAAAAUGGGGUGGGAAAGACAAUGAAGAUGAAAAAGUUGUGGUGGAUUCUUGUUAGAGAAGGGUUGUUCGUGAGAGUUGUUCUCUUCCCUGUGGUUGUUGGAUUGAUCAAGUAUCAUAGUCUCGAGGAGAAUUUGCAUUUGUGGAUUAACAGAUAACCCUACACUCUACUAUUAAUUGAACUGAAUAUCCUAAGUUACAUGAAGAGGGGUUGUUGCUUGGAGCAAUGGCAAAUGGCUCUUUCCGCUUGCGCAGUGGUGCGGGUUCGAGUCCUGGGAACUAGGCUCUCCAUAAAGGGGAAGGUUUAUAUCUCGCAACACACCAAGAAGAGUAACUUGGUCAACAUGGGCCAGUCAAAGGUUUCCAAUCCUCUGGUUUCAUUGAGAUGCACCGAGGAGGGCAAACUUGCAUGUGCUCUUCUAGAGGAGUCCAUAGUAGUUAAUCAAUCCGGAGAAAUGUCUUAAACUUUCUUGGAUUAAUUAGGUAUUUGGUGCCCUCCUCAAAUUAAAAAAAUUUCCUUGUAUUUUUAAUAAUCCAACUAUUUUUAUAACUGUUAGACUUCUCCUAAACUUCACAUUUUCUUCUUCACACUCUGCAUUUGAGAUGAAUAUUACCUGUUAAGUUUGUCUUGAAUUCUUAACUCAUUUUGAAGAAUGAUCUGCUCA
This is an RNA transcript of Macadamia integrifolia, 2304 nucleotides long. It is a transcript of the gene named protein DETOXIFICATION 35-like, with no coding region annotated. The transcript is spliced from 9 exons. Lineage: Eukaryota; Viridiplantae; Streptophyta; Magnoliopsida; Proteales; Proteaceae. The record is from RefSeq and is a predicted model, not a curated record.